This is a long non-coding RNA of Zonotrichia leucophrys gambelii, 619 nucleotides long. RefSeq lists it as uncharacterized. The transcript is spliced from 5 exons. NCBI's taxonomy places the organism in Eukaryota, Metazoa, Chordata, Aves, Passeriformes, Passerellidae. The record is from RefSeq and is a predicted model, not a curated record.
CACAAAGAGGUCCUGUGGUUUUCCAGCACCACUGAUGAAAAGCAAAAUCUGCAUGGCAUCCCUGGGGGCUGGGGGAGCUGCAGCAGCACUCAGAGCAGGCCAAGAAGAACAAAAAUCCCACAUCCAAUAAUGCAGAUGUUGGCUUGUCUCAGCCCUGUGUUCCCCUGCCAAAGAGGGGUGAGAGGGCUCUUUCCAGCCCCUGAAUGCUCCUGGGACAUCUAUGAUCUACCCUGCAGCUGGCCUGGGUCUGCCUCUUCUUUCUGUGUGUUGCUCCUGCCCGUGGUGCUCACCUACACCAGCAUAUGGAUUUGGCAGGUGUAAACACAUCCCAGGUUUACCACCUCUGGUUUCUGGAAAUGGACAUUCAUUUUGGGAAACAAGUGGAAGAGCAGCAUUCUGCCAGGACUGGACUCUAAAUGCUGCUGAACUGGAAUUCAGUUGUCCUGUGUUGCUCAGCAAGUGUGAACAGACCACUCCUGAAAGCACAAACUGACUCAAUGGGAUGUCUGGACUGAACCAGAGGCAAGAACCUCUCCUCCCAAGCAGAGAGGAUUCCUGGGAGAAGCUCAUGCUGGAAUGCAGAAGGGAGUGGGCAAACCCAAAACACUGAGGCAUCUAA